UACGGAGGGUGCAAGCGUUAUCCGGAUUCACUGGGUUUAAAGGGUGCGUAGGCGGGCAGGUAAGUCCGUGGUGAAAUCUCUGAGCUUAACUCAGAAACUGCCAUGGAUACUAUCUGUCUUGAAUAUUGUGGAGGUAAGCGGAAUAUGUCAUGUAGCGGUGAAAUGCUUAGAUAUGACAUAGAACACCCAUUGCGAAGGCAGCUUACUACACAAUCAUUGACGCUGAGGCACGAAAGCGUGGGGAUCAAACAGG
Molecule: ribosomal RNA, 253 nt
Filed under: uncultured bacterium
Lineage: Bacteria
Description: partial 16S ribosomal RNA
Rfam family: Bacterial small subunit ribosomal RNA
Source: RNAcentral